UACGAAGGGGGCUAGCGUUGUUCGGAAUUACUGGGCGUAAAGGGCGCGUAGGCUGUGCUGUAAGUCAGGCGUGAAAUCCCCGGGCUCAACCUGGGAACUGCAUUUGUGACUGCAUCGCUGGAGUACGGCAGAGGGGGAUGGAAUUCCGCGUGUAGCAGUGAAAUGCGUAGAUAUGCGGAGGAACACCGAUGGCGAAGGCAAUCCCCUGGGCCUGUACUGACGCUCAUGCACGAAAGCGUGGGGAGCAAACAGG
Molecule: ribosomal RNA, 253 nt
Filed under: uncultured bacterium
Lineage: Bacteria
Description: partial 16S ribosomal RNA
Rfam family: Bacterial small subunit ribosomal RNA
Source: RNAcentral